UUUAUAGUUUAAAAAAAACAUUGGUCUUGUAAAUCAAAAUUAAGUUUAUACUUUUAAAACUUCA
Molecule: transfer RNA, 64 nt
Filed under: Parantica aglea (glassy tiger)
Lineage: Eukaryota; Metazoa; Arthropoda; Insecta; Lepidoptera; Nymphalidae
Description: tRNA-Thr
Source: RNAcentral